RNAcentral lists this ribosomal RNA (253 nucleotides) under uncultured bacterium. RNAcentral's name for it is "partial 16S ribosomal RNA". It matches the Rfam family "Bacterial small subunit ribosomal RNA", at positions 524 to 776 of the family's 1533-position model. The record is from RNAcentral.
UACGGAGGGUGCAAGCGUUAUCCGGAUUCACCGGGUUUAAAGGGUGCGUAGGUGGGCAGUUAAGUCAGUGGUGAAAUCUCCGGGCUUAACCCGGAAACUGCCAUUGAUACUAUCUGUCUUGAAUACCGUGGAGGUGAGCGGAAUAUGUCAUGUAGCGGUGAAAUGCUUAGAUAUGAUAUAGAACACCAAUUGCGAAGGCAGCUCACUACACGAAUAUUGACACUGAGGCACGAAAGCGUGGGGAUCAAACAGG